Transfer RNA from Galdieria sulphuraria, 87 nucleotides. It matches the Rfam family "tRNA". From Rfam's summary of the family: Transfer RNA (tRNA) molecules are approximately 80 nucleotides in length. Their secondary structure includes four short double-helical elements and three loops (D, anti-codon, and T loops). Lineage: Eukaryota; Rhodophyta; Bangiophyceae; Galdieriales; Galdieriaceae. The record is from Rfam.
GGAGAGGUGGCCGAGUGGUUGAAGGCUUCUGAUUUGAAAUCAGACGAAUUUUUAUAAAUUCCAUGGGUUCGAAUCCCAUCCUCUCUU